Molecule: small nuclear RNA, 108 nt
Organism: Bos indicus x Bos taurus (hybrid cattle)
Lineage: Eukaryota; Metazoa; Chordata; Mammalia; Artiodactyla; Bovidae
Source: Ensembl
GUGCUUGCCUUGGCAGCACAUAUACUAAAACCGGAAUAAUACAGAGAAAAUUAGCAUGGCCCUUGUGCUAGGAUGACCAAAAAAAAAAAAAAGUUUCUCCAAAUCUUU